Calidris pugnax (ruff) is the source of this 606-nucleotide long non-coding RNA. RefSeq lists it as uncharacterized. Lineage: Eukaryota; Metazoa; Chordata; Aves; Charadriiformes; Scolopacidae. The transcript has 2 exons. The record is from RefSeq and is a predicted model, not a curated record.
CCCCCCCGGCUCUGCCCCCCCGGCUCAUCAGAAAACGAGUUUUUGGGAAGUCGUUCAGGCAGUGGGUGACGCUGAUUUAAUUUUAAUGACACGGCGGUGUUUUUAACCUGGAACUUCCAGUUUUGAGCGGCUCCUUCCCCUUCCAGCAACUUGAGGAGGUGUCAUCCCCCCCCUUUCCCUCUGUAUUUGGGGGUUUUGCUCUGGGUGGGAGUUAACCCUUCCCAGCCCGGUGGCUCUGGGGGUCGGGCAGGUCGAUGGCACCGGGGCUGUCCCCAAGUAGAGUCCCUUGGCUUAAACCUGCACUUUCUGACCUUAGCGAAAAAGGGAAAAAACGGAGAAAUGUACAUCAAAGGUUGGUUUUGGUGUUUUUUGCUGUUUUGGGGCUUAUUGUUUUUUGGUUUUUUGUUUUGUUUUUUUUUUUAAUAAUCCUUAUUUUAAGCCUUUUAUUUGCUUCCAGGGGCUCGGUUCCCUCUGUGUAACCCCUCGGGAUCCCUCGCAGUCGCUGUGUUUCCUUGUGAGCCCAGAGGCAGAGAAGGGGCCGCUCGCUGGUCCCGCUCGCCCCCCCCUCCCUUCCCUCUUCUCCAUUAAUAAACUGAACUGUUUCUA